CAUUAUUGAAGUUUUUCUUUGAUUUAGUAAAAGGCGAAGUGGAGUUUCUAACAAAGAGUUUGGUUGAAAGAACAAAUUCACAGCAUCAACAAGUCUUGCCACAGACAGUUCUUGUGAAGACAUUCUUGCUUGAAAGUGGAACCGCAGUGCUUUUUACCAAACACAUAAAUAUUCUAGCAGAUUGGGUCAUACUUUCCCACAGAGAAUUGAAUGGAAAAAAUGAUGAGUUCAGAAGUGAAGUUUCUGGUCUAUUAAAUGCAAUUCUUGGAACUGUAGUGGACUAUU
This 285-nucleotide long non-coding RNA is filed under the name Zosterops lateralis melanops. Its description in RNAcentral is "lncRNA (ENSZLMG00000008023.1)". The record is from RNAcentral. Lineage: Eukaryota; Metazoa; Chordata; Aves; Passeriformes; Zosteropidae.